GUCUACAGCCAUACCACCUUGAACACGCCCGAUCUCAUCUGGUCUUGGAAGCAAGAGAGGCAGAUGGAGACGGAGAGAUACCACAGCACUGAAGCUUAUCCCCAUAGCAUGGAUUCCCUUGUGGUGGACU
This 130-nucleotide ribosomal RNA is filed under the name Erinaceus europaeus (western European hedgehog). The record is from RNAcentral. Lineage: Eukaryota; Metazoa; Chordata; Mammalia; Eulipotyphla; Erinaceidae.